RNAcentral lists this transfer RNA (71 nucleotides) under Fukomys damarensis (Damara mole-rat). It matches the Rfam family "tRNA". Rfam says of the family: Transfer RNA (tRNA) molecules are approximately 80 nucleotides in length. Lineage: Eukaryota; Metazoa; Chordata; Mammalia; Rodentia; Bathyergidae. The record is from Rfam by way of RNAcentral.
GGGGUGUAGCUCAGUGGUAGAGCACUUGCUUAAUAUGUAGGAGCCUUGGGUUCAAUCCCCAGUACUAUCCA